Long non-coding RNA from Mauremys reevesii (Reeves's turtle), 437 nucleotides. RefSeq lists it as uncharacterized. The transcript has 4 exons. The record is from RefSeq and is a predicted model, not a curated record. NCBI's taxonomy places the organism in Eukaryota, Metazoa, Chordata, Testudines, Geoemydidae.
UCCUUGGGAGUAGGGAGGAAGCAUAAUUUGUGGAGCCCAUGCAAAGCUUCCACACCACUUACACACAGCACUGCACAGGAGAUCCUUCUUCCCUAGCAUAUAAGGAGGCUGCAGACUGGCCAGGUGCAACUGCCCAGAUUCACCAACCCCUAUGGAAAGAUAUUUGUACAGUAAAUACUAAGUUCCAUGAAGCAAUAAAACAGUCUGGACUAAGUUACUGAAGUUCUUUGAAGUACUGGAGAGACCCAUAAAUAAGAGAGAGCAUUGGCCACCAUUUAGGGGAAACACUGAAUAUGUCACAGUGUUAAUGGUUUCCUGCUGACUGACAAUGUCAGAUACAACAUUUCACACAAUUUUUCUUCUCUAUGUGUGAAAUUACAUAUCCAGGAAAUCUGAAGAGAAUCAGCAGGAUCCUGAUAUUGUUUUCUUGUAUGCAA